RNAcentral lists this long non-coding RNA (1298 nucleotides) under Erythranthe guttata (spotted monkey flower). RNAcentral's name for it is "long non-coding RNA (EGUT_LNC002929)". The record is from RNAcentral. Lineage: Eukaryota; Viridiplantae; Streptophyta; Magnoliopsida; Lamiales; Phrymaceae.
GAAUUUAUAAGAACUUAUGAAUUGGCAAGCAUAUACCAAUACACAAAAUAACUGCAUGAAUUUGGAAUAUAUUAGAAAAUAGUUCAUAUCAAAAUCUAACAAAAAUAUAAUGCCACAAAUAAAAAUCAAAGUUCUGCUAAACAUAAGUAAAUAUCAUAAAAAAAAAUCUAAUUAAACUCAACGGUAUCCUCGUCGUUCAAGAACAGAUAAUUAAAAGUUUUUCGAGUGCGAUAUCCCACUUGCUGGAGUUUUCUCACUAAUGGUUGUUGCAUGCACAACUGCCUUGCCAUAUACAAGACAAAAAUCCCACAAUCAACCAAAUCUGGUUUGUUGAGGCGAUGUCGAAACUUAAUAUGGCUUUGUGUUAUCGUGCAAAUAGAUUUGGCUUGAUUCAUCGUUGCUUCCCUCUUUUUGAAGAGGCAAAUAAUUCAUCUAUUUUCCUCUCCCGUUUCGUCAAAUCAACUGUUCAAUUGAAAAAAAAAAUUAUUGGACAACCAUGUCGGUACCUAUGCAAAAUGCAAAAUGAAAAAAAAAACAUCAAAGUGCAAAACGCAAAAUGCAAAAUAAAUAUCAAAGUGCAAAAUACACUACGCUAGAAACAACAAAUCGCAAACAGAAAAAAAAAAAAACAACGAAAUCGAAUAUAUGUUGCAAUCGACACCAGAAAAUAACAUGAACAAAAAAUAAAAAAAAAACAAAUGUAUCACAAAACAGCAAAAUGAAAACACAAAAUAAUGUAACACAUACCAGGAAACUCCAAACAAACAAUCAACGGAUUUAGGAGGAAAAAGACAAAUUUAACAAAAUACUCCAAAGGGCCGAAAAGCACAAAAGACGACAAAACAAAAAAUCGCAAUCGAGUUAUUAAAAGAUGUAACAAAAACGCAAAACAACCGGAAAAAUAUUGUAAAUGAACAGUAAAACCAAACAAAAAAUAAUGUCAAAACGAAAAAUAAAAAUAAAAAUUACAUGGGGUUAAAACCUCUAAUUUGCAUCUUUCACUUAUGUUAUAAAAAUAACCUAUUGCAUUCCGUCAAUGAAUCGCCAUUAAAGACAUUUACAAAAUCACAAAUCAAAUUACCUGUACGUUUCGAUUUUGCACUAUCCUCUAGGAUGUGUUUUCUUUGUUGGCGAUUUGCAGAAGUUAUAGAGAUUACAUCGUUCUCGAGAACAACGAUAGGGGAACAUAGAUUGCAUUGAAUAAAAGGGGGCAGGGAGAAGUUUUGUUUUUUGAGAGAUUAACGAUGGAAAAAUACAAUUUGGGGAGGAUUUGCAAUUGACGUUUUGCAGCACGAUUU